GCCGGUUUGGCUCAGUGGAUAGAGCGUCGGUCUGCGGACCGAAAGGUCCCAGGUUCGAUUCCGGUCAAGGGCA
Molecule: non-coding RNA, 73 nt
Organism: Myotis lucifugus (little brown bat)
Lineage: Eukaryota; Metazoa; Chordata; Mammalia; Chiroptera; Vespertilionidae
Source: Rfam